This 969-nucleotide long non-coding RNA is filed under the name Heterocephalus glaber (naked mole-rat). RNAcentral's name for it is "lncRNA (ENSHGLG00000028969.2)". Lineage: Eukaryota; Metazoa; Chordata; Mammalia; Rodentia; Bathyergidae. The record is from RNAcentral.
AGGUGCCAUAAUCUCUCAUCUGGAUUCCAGAGCUCUUGUAAAGUCAUUUUCCAGUGUUAUGGUUGUUCCAGUUGAUAUUUCUGCGAGGAUGAACUUCAGUUUAUCAUUUAUCGGAACAAAAAAUCUAUAAUUUAUUCUUGUGCCUAGAAAAUCAAGCUGUCUGUGACUCGGCGGUCUAUGCUGGAGAGUAAGAGCCAAAGUAUGAGUGAGUUCUCAGGAGGCAAGGGAUAUAAAUCUGUUUUAAGUCUUUCAUGGUGACCUAUAAAUCUCUUAUCUGCUGCAAGCCAACAUGAGAUCAGCCAAUGUAGAGAGAGAGACAGAGGAGAAAGAUGAAAAGAACCUAGAUCUCAGAUUUCAUUGAGUGCAAAGAAGAUAAGAAUUACAGGAAAAAUUCAGGGUGAAGACUUCCAAACAGGAUGCAGCAAGAAAAGGUUUAUUAGAAGAACUGCUCCAUGGUGAUGCUUUCAGUAAUUGUUUAUUAGCUCAGAUUUGCUUUCUGAAGAUUAAAUGAAUCCUACAUGGAAGAGUCUAUUGCUGCUUUGACUCCCUGGAAUCACUUAUAAUUUACUACAAAAGAUAUUGGUCUCUGUCUCUGCUUUUAUGGAGACUCCAAACAAGAUGGUUCCUACCAAAAUGGUCCAGAAGCCCACUGUUACAGUAAAAUCUUGAAUUUGGACAACUUGCAGUCUGAAAGCCAAAGGACUACACUACUGAACUCAGUCACAUGGCCAUACUUCUCUGAAGAAGGACAGAAGGACAGAGUCACUGAUGCCCCCAGAGGAGGAGGGAAAUUAUUAACUGUCUCUGUCAGGUGGUUUUAAAUGAAAAGCGUGCUUUCAAGAUGUGAUGGAUAAAAGAAAAGAGAUAAGACACAAUAUUACGGUGAAGCUUUGUUGAUGAAAUACAUAAAUGAGAUAUUUAAAUAAUAAUAUAACAAAAUUUAUAUUUGAAUGAAAAAUAGAAUAUUAA